CUCUCUCUCUCUCUCUCUCUCUCUCUCUCUGGUCUGCAGUCCUUUGAUAGCAACAGUGAUAGAGAAGCAAUGGAGAAAGGAGCGACUAAGAAGAAAUCAUCACCUCUCUCUCUGCAACAGUUCAUCACUAUCACCACCCCUCUUCUUGACUUGGAAAAGGAAGCUGAGAUAUCAAGCUCAAUCGCCACGGGCGCAUCAAGGAAUCUGGAUACUGCUCAAAAGAAAGGUUCCACAAUCCUUAACUUGAAGUGUGUGGAUGUCCAGACAGGGCUUAUGGGAAAAUCUCUGAUUGAGUUCCAGUCUACAAAAGGAGAUGUUCUUCCUGCACACAAGUUUAGUACUCACGACGUCGUCGUUUUAAAACUCAACAAGGCUGAUCUAGGUUCUCCUGCUCUUGGACAAGGUGUUGUUUAUAGAUUAAAGGACUCGUCAAUAACUGUUGCUUUUGAUGACAUACCUGAAGAUGGUUUAAACAGUCCCCUAAGGCUGGAAAAAGUUGCAAAUGAGGUGACAUAUCGCAGGAUGAAAGAUGCAUUAGUACAGUUGAGUAAAGGAGUGCAUAAGGGUCCAGCUGCUGAUCUAAUUCCGGUCUUAUUUGGGGAGAGGUCGCCAACAAUGUCCAAGAAGGAUGUUUCCUUCACUCCUUUUAAUACCAAACUUGAUCACUCUCAGAAAGGUGCAAUUUCAAAAGCCCUAUCUUCGAAGAAUGUGUUUUUGCUACAUGGACCUCCUGGAACUGGGAAAACUACAACAGUGGUGGAAAUUAUAUUACAAGAAGUUAAACGUGGAUCAAAGAUUCUUGCUUGUGCUGCCUCAAACAUUGCUGUUGAUAACAUCGUUGAGCGGCUAGUUCCACAUAGGGUUAAGCUGGUGAGAGUAGGUCAUCCUGCACGCUUAUUGCCUCAAGUACUGGACAGUGCACUGGAUGCUCAGGUACUACGAGGAGAUAAUAGUGGCCUUGCAAAUGACAUUCGAAAAGAAAUGAAGGCAUUGAAUGGAAAGCUAUUGAAAACCAAAGACAAAAGUACAAGGAGAGACAUACAAAGGGAACUUAGGACUCUAUCCAAAGAAGAGCGCAAAAGGCAGCAGCUUGCUGUAACAGACGUACUUAAAACUGCAGAUGUAAUAUUGACUACUCUGAUUGGGGCCUAUUCUAAGAAACUCGACAAUAUGUCAUUUGAUUUGGUAAUUAUUGAUGAAGCUGCUCAAGCACUUGAAAUUGCAUGUUGGAUUCCUCUGUUGAAGGGCUCAAGAUGUAUCCUUGCAGGGGACCAUCUUCAACUUCCUCCAACCAUUCAAAGUGUUGAAGCUGAGAAGAAAGGUUUAGGAAGAACCCUCUUUGAACGACUUGCAGAAAUAUAUGGAGACGAGGUCACAUCUAUGCUUACAGUCCAGUACCGUAUGAAUGAACUCAUCAUGGAUUGGUCUUCUAAAGAACUUUACAACAGCAAGAUCGAGGCUCAUGCUAGUGUUGCUGCACAUAUGCUAUAUGAUCUUGACAAUGUGCAGAAGACAUCGUCAACUGAACCAACUCUUCUUCUCAUAGACAUUGCUGGAUGUGAUAUGGAAGAAAAAAAAGAUGAAGAAGAUAGCACCCUUAAUGAAGGUGAAGCCGAGGUUGCUAUUGUUCAUGCCAAGAGACUCGUUCAAAGUGGUGUGCUUCCUUCUGAUAUUGGAAUUAUUACCCCAUAUGCUGCCCAGGUUGUUUUGCUCAAGAUGUUGAGAAACAAUGAGAAUCAGCUGAAGGAUGUCGAAAUCUCAACAGUUGAUGGCUUUCAGGGAAGGGAGAAGGAAGCCAUUAUUAUAUCAAUGGUCCGAUCCAACUCAAAAAAGGAGGUGGGCUUUCUGAGUGAUCGCCGGCGUAUGAAUGUGGCUGUGACACGGGCACGAAGGCAAUGCUGUCUUGUCUGUGACACCGAGACAGUCAGUAGUGAUGCAUUUCUGAAGCGGUUGAUAGAGUAUUUUGAAGAGCAUGGCGAGUAUCAGAGUGCAUCCGAAUACCAGAACGAGUAGGCUGAAUUCUCAAGGUUAAUGUUGCUAUUGCUGCUGUCUUCAGAACUAUUGGUUGUUUUGAUGAUGUUGCUAGUAGAUCUAUGAAGGUUUUCUCAAUCCAAGUCAUGGAGUGUAAGACAAAAGCAAGGGUUAACAUGAAUUGUCAAAAAGCUGCUAAUUAAUGUGUCUGAUGAAUGGAAAAUGGGAGAAGUAAAGGUGCAAAUUUUGGAGAAAUCUUUCAUCUCUACUUUUCAUACACAUUACAUUGUGUUAAUGCUUAUAUAGGUUGGUCAUUUCCCAAAGCUUGAGCAAUUAUAGGAGAUAAAACACUAGAGACUUGUCAGAAUUCUUGCAUAUUAUUUAUUUUCAUAAAUCAUUCAUACCACUGUUAUGCUUGUCUUAUUUUAUGUGAUUUUGUUUUUGUUUUGUUUUUUCUUCUGACUUAUAACCUAUCUAGUGAGUUGUUGAACUUGAUAUACCAAUAAUCAUCGUUUUCCUCUGUGAACUACUUUGCCAGAGCAAAACAUAAGAUUGAAAGAACAAUGUUAGAACUUAACACUCCCAAAAAUGCUAAAAAUUGAAACUCAGCAAGCAUAAGACAAAACAGGAAUAGACUGGAGAGUAGCAGUAGAACCAAAACCAUCCUAUCUAUGCUUAGGCCGAU
This is an RNA transcript of Arachis stenosperma, 2656 nucleotides long. RefSeq lists it as uncharacterized. The record is from RefSeq and is a predicted model, not a curated record. The transcript is spliced from 17 exons. NCBI's taxonomy places the organism in Eukaryota, Viridiplantae, Streptophyta, Magnoliopsida, Fabales, Fabaceae.